Molecule: ribosomal RNA, 254 nt
Filed under: uncultured bacterium
Lineage: Bacteria
Description: partial 16S ribosomal RNA
Rfam family: Bacterial small subunit ribosomal RNA
Source: RNAcentral
UACGGGGGGGGGCAAGCGUUGUUCGGAAUUACUGGGCGUAAAGGGCUCGUAGGCGGCCAACUAAGUCCGACGUGAAAUCCCAAGGCUUAACCUUGGAACUGCGUCGGAUACUGGAUGGCUUGAAUUCGGGAGAGGGAUGCAGAAUUCCAGGUGUAGCGGUGAAAUGCGUAGAUAUCUGGAGGAAUACCGGUGGCGAAGGCGGCAUCCUGGACCGACAUUGACGCUGAUGAGCGAAAGCUAGGGGAGCAAACGGG